This 389-nucleotide ribosomal RNA is filed under the name Chrysochromulina sp. RNAcentral describes it as "partial small subunit ribosomal RNA". It matches the Rfam family "Eukaryotic small subunit ribosomal RNA", at positions 582 to 975 of the family's 1831-position model. The record is from RNAcentral. Lineage: Eukaryota; Haptophyta; Prymnesiales; Chrysochromulinaceae.
AUUCCAGCUCCAAUAGCGUAUAUUAAAGUUGUUGCAGUUAGAACGCUCGUAGUCGGAUUUCGGGGCGGUCCGACCGGUCUGCCGAUGGGUACGCACUGGUCGGAGCGUCCUUUUUGCCGGAGACCGUGCCUACUCUUAACUGAGCGGGGGCGGGAGACGGCACUUUUACUUUGAAAAAAUCAGAGUGUUUCAAGCAGGCAGCUCGCUCUUGCAUGGAUUAGCAUGGGAUAAUGAAAUAGGACUUUGGUGCUAUUUUGUUGGUUUCGAACACCGAAGUAAUGAUGAGAAGGGACAGUCAGGGGCACUCGUAUUCCGCAGAGAGAGGUGAAAUUCUCAGACCCGCGGAAGACGAACCACUGCGAAAGCAUUUGCCAGGGAUGUUUUCAUCA